GGAGAGCCCUAAAUUGAAGAGUGGGGCAACUCACCGGAAAGGAAGGAAGAACGGCUCCGAGAGCGUCAAAGGAGGAGCGAACGAACAGUUCGGCGGCAACGGCAGCGGCACAAGGGAGAAACUUGAAGAUGCCUGUGAAGAGAAAGGCGGACGGGGGAGGGCCCCCGGUUAAAUAGGCGGAAAGGCGGGUGACGCCUCGGUGACGCCAGAG
This 211-nucleotide long non-coding RNA is filed under the name Phoenix dactylifera (date palm). RNAcentral describes it as "long non-coding RNA (PDAC_LNC013186)". Lineage: Eukaryota; Viridiplantae; Streptophyta; Magnoliopsida; Arecales; Arecaceae. The record is from RNAcentral.